This 253-nucleotide ribosomal RNA is filed under the name uncultured bacterium. Its description in RNAcentral is "partial 16S ribosomal RNA". It matches the Rfam family "Bacterial small subunit ribosomal RNA", at positions 524 to 776 of the family's 1533-position model. The record is from RNAcentral.
GACGAAGGAUCCAAGCGUUAUCCGGAUUUAUUGGGUUUAAAGGGUGCGUAGGCGGACUUGUAAGUCAGUGGUGAAAGCCCGAUGCUUAACAUCGGAACUGCCAUUGAUACUGCAAGUCUUGAAUAUGUUUGAAGUGGGCGGAAUGUGUCGUGUAGCGGUGAAAUGCUUAGAUAUGACACAGAACACCGAUUGCGAAGGCAGCUCACUAAACCAUAAUUGACGCUGAGGCACGAAAGCGUGGGGAGCAAACAGG